RNAcentral lists this ribosomal RNA (433 nucleotides) under uncultured bacterium. RNAcentral's name for it is "partial 16S ribosomal RNA". It matches the Rfam family "Bacterial small subunit ribosomal RNA", at positions 29 to 507 of the family's 1533-position model. The record is from RNAcentral.
AACGAACGCUGGCGGCAUGCCUAACACAUGCCAGUCGAACGAAGGCUUCGGCCUUAGUGGCGCACGGGUGCGUAACGCGUGGGAAUCUGCCCUUUGGUUCGGAAUAACAGCUGGAAACGGCUGCUAAUACCGGAUGAUGACGAAAGUCCAAAGAUUUAUCGCCAGAGGAUGAGCCCGCGUUGGAUUAGGUAGUUGGUGGGGUAAAGGCCUACCAAGCCGACGAUCCAUAGCUGGUCUGAGAGGAUGAUCAGCCACACUGGGACUGAGACACGGCCCAGACUCCUACGGGAGGCAGCAGUGGGGAAUAUUGGACAAUGGGCGCAAGCCUGAUCCAGCAAUGCCGCGUGAGUGAUGAAGGUCCUAGGGUUGUAAAGCUCUUUUACCCGGGAAGAUAAUGACUGUACCGGGAGAAUAAGCCCCGGCCAACUCCGUG